This 105-nucleotide small nuclear RNA is filed under the name Pongo abelii (Sumatran orangutan). The record is from RNAcentral. Lineage: Eukaryota; Metazoa; Chordata; Mammalia; Primates; Hominidae.
GCGCUCGCUUCGGCAGCACAUAUACUAAAACUUGGAACGAUACAGAGAUUAGCAUGACCCCUGCGCAAGGAUGACACGCAAAUUCGUGAAUUGUUCCAUAUUUUU